GAUUAGCCAGUUGGCGGGGCAACGGCCCACCAAAGCAGCGAUCGGGUAGGGGUUCUGAGAGGAAGGUCCCCCACAAUGGAASUGAGACACGGUCCAGACUCCUACGGGAGGCAGCAGUGAGGAAUAUUGGUCAAUGGACGAGAGUCUGARCCAGCCAAGUSGCGUGAAGGAAGACUGCCSUAAGGGUUGUAAACUUCUUUUGUAUGGGAAUAAAAAAUGGGACGUGUCSUAUAUUGUAUGUACCAUASGAAUAAGGAUCGGCUAACUCCGUGCCAGCAGCCGCGGUAAUACGGAGGAUCCGAGCGUUAUCCGGAUUUAUUGAGUUUAAAGGGUGSGUAGGCGGGAGAUCAAGUCAGUGGUGAAAUGGUGUGGCUCAACCAUAGCAUUGCCGUUGAAACUGGUUUUCUUGAGUGUAAAUGAGGUAAGCGGAAUGUGUCGUGUAGCGGUGAAAUGCAUAGAUGKGACACAGAACUCCAAUUGCGAAGGCAGCUUAYUGGGAUACAACUGACGCUGAGGCACGAAAGC
Molecule: ribosomal RNA, 525 nt
Filed under: uncultured Bacteroidia bacterium
Lineage: Bacteria; Pseudomonadati; Bacteroidota; Bacteroidia
Description: bacterial SSU rRNA
Rfam family: Bacterial small subunit ribosomal RNA
Source: RNAcentral